RNAcentral lists this ribosomal RNA (374 nucleotides) under uncultured Glomeromycotina. Its description in RNAcentral is "LSU rRNA". Lineage: Eukaryota; Fungi; Glomeromycota. The record is from RNAcentral.
UUGAAAGGGAAACGAUUGAAGUCAGUCGUACCAGCGGGAAAUCAACCUUUCGAGUGGUGUUUUGGAGUUUUGAAGUGUGUCAAAACCUUUGAGAUUUUAAAAUUUUCGCUCUUUUGGUGUACUUUCUCGUGGGUAGGUUAACAUCGAUUUUGAUCAUCAUAAAAAGAUUGGAGGAAUGUAGCUUCGAUCUUGUAUUGAAGUGUUAUAGCCUUUGGUAAAUGUGAUGAUUAGGAUCGAGGAUUGCAACGAAUACCCUUCUGGGCUAUCCGCCUGAUCUCUGAUACGUGGCCUUGGCAUCGAAAGCUUGCUUAUGGUAUCAAGGUAUUACGGUCAAAAGGUUAGAACGGAUUACAUUCGUUAAGGAUGUUGACGUA